AAGUCGUAACAAGGUAACCGUAGGUGAACCUGCGGUUGGAUCAUUAGUGGUUUUUACGUAGCGCUGUUGUAGUGUUUCUGGGGGGUUCUUGGGGUUGGUCUUUGAGUUUGUUGUUGGUUGUUUGUCUGUUUGUGCGAUGUCUUGUGCCUUGCCUUGUGCGGUGCCUUGUGCGGUGCCUGGCAGUACAAACGAUCGACGGCAACACUCGGACCAGACCCAAGACCUUUACAGACAAUAGACGUCUUUGCUUGCUUUGAUGAAACCAAAUCAAAAACAACUUUUGACAACGGAUCUCUUGGCUCUC
This 304-nucleotide unclassified non-coding RNA is filed under the name fungal sp. RNAcentral's name for it is "partial internal transcribed spacer region". The stretch from base 1 to 46 matches the Rfam family "Eukaryotic small subunit ribosomal RNA", at positions 1786 to 1831 of the family's 1831-position model. The record is from RNAcentral. Lineage: Eukaryota; Fungi.